Long non-coding RNA from Bos taurus (domestic cattle), 743 nucleotides. NCBI's taxonomy places the organism in Eukaryota, Metazoa, Chordata, Mammalia, Artiodactyla, Bovidae. The record is from Ensembl.
GUCAGAGGUGGCACUUUGCUUCCAGCAGAGUCCAUGGAUCCUCAGAGAACUGUUUUUUACUGACUAAAGAAAUGGUAGGAUUCCUUGGUGGCUCAGACAGUAAAGAAUCUGCCUGCAAUGCAGAAGACAUGGGAGACUUAGGGUCGAUCCCUAGGUUGGGAAGAUCCCCUAGAGAAGGGAAUGGUAACCCAUUCCAGCAUUCUUGCCUGGAGAACCCCACGCACAAAGGAGCCUGUGGGUCUACAGUCCAUGAGGUCGCAAAGAGUCGGACAAGACUGACUAAGGACACAAAGAAAUGGGAAGUCAGCUUUCAAAAUGAGAAGAAACUCUAAGAAGAACAGUGAGGAUGCAAGGUUUCCCAAACUGUCUCCCUUCCCACCCGCUACCCGCCUCCUCCCCAACCCAAACACAUACUGCACCUUUCUCCAAAACUCAAAUCCAUCUUGUGUAAGCAGACUGGGAAUGUCUAACUUCAGAGGGAGAGCUAAUCCAGACUAUGGCAUCAAUUCUCCCAGCCAUGUUCAUAGAACAGGGAUUAGGGGUCUUAAAGCACAGCAGAACUGGAGCAGAUUUGGCAAAUCAUUCAUCUGUCCAGAGACAGCUUCAAGACAGGAAGUAGAACAUGGACUUUAAUUAACAACAUUUCAGAUCACCCUGGAAUGGAAAUCUUUCUAUUAGGAAAGAACAGAGGAUGUAAAUACAUGCCUACGUUGACUCAUUGGAAAAGACUCUGAUGCUGGGAG